Molecule: ribosomal RNA, 497 nt
Filed under: uncultured bacterium
Lineage: Bacteria
Description: partial 16S ribosomal RNA
Rfam family: Bacterial small subunit ribosomal RNA
Source: RNAcentral
GAUGAACGCUGGCGGCGUGCCUAAUACAUGCAAGUCGAGCGAACAGACGAGGAGCUUGCUCCUCUGACGUUAGCGGCGGACGGGUGAGUAACACGUGGAUAACCUACCUAUAAGACUGGGAUAACUUCGGGAAACCGGAGCUAAUACCGGAUAAUAUAUUGAACCGCAUGGUUCAAUAGUGAAAGACGGUUUUGCUGUCACUUAUAGAUGGAUCCGCGCCGCAUUAGCUAGUUGGUAAGGUAACGGCUUACCAAGGCAACGAUGCGUAGCCGACCUGAGAGGGUGAUCGGCCACACGGGAACUGAGACACGGUCCAGACUCCUACGGGAGGCAGCAGUAGGGAAGCUUCCGCAAUGGGCGAAAGCCUGACGGAGCAACGCCGCGUGAGUGAUGAAGGUCUUCGGAUCGUAAAACUCUGUUAUUAGGGAAGAACAAAUGUGUAAGUAACUAUGCACGUCUUGACGGUACCUAAUCAGAAAGCCACGGCUAACUACGUG